ACUUUUAUAGGAUAACAGAAAUCCAUUGGUCUUAGGAACCAAAAAUCUUGGUGCAACUCCAAAUUAAAGUA
RNAcentral lists this transfer RNA (71 nucleotides) under Mastomys angolensis. RNAcentral describes it as "tRNA-Leu". It matches the Rfam family "tRNA". From Rfam's summary of the family: Transfer RNA (tRNA) molecules are approximately 80 nucleotides in length. The record is from RNAcentral. Lineage: Eukaryota; Metazoa; Chordata; Mammalia; Rodentia; Muridae.